CCUACGGGAGGCAGCAGUGAGGAAUAUUGGUCAAUGGGCUUACGCCUGAACCAGCCAAGUCGCGUGAGGGAAGACUGCCCUAUGGGUUGUAAACCUCUUUUGUCAGGGAGCAACGCAGGCUACGUGUAGCCGGACUGAGAGUACCUGAAGAAAAAGCAUCGGCUAACUCCGUGCCAGCAGCCGCGGUAAUACGGAGGAUGCGAGCGUUAUCCGGAUUGAUUGGGUUUAAAGGGUGCGUAGGCGGAAUGCCAAGUCAGCGGUAAAAUCGCGGGGCUCAACCUCGCUCCGCCGUUGAAACUGGCGUUCUUGAGUGGGCUAGAAGUAUGCGGAAUGCGUGGUGUAGCGGUGAAAUGCAUAGAUAUCACGCAGAACUCCGAUUGCGAAGGCAGCAUACCGGCGCCCAACUGACGCUGAAGCACGAAAGCGUGGGUAUCGAACAGGAUUAGAUACCCCAGUAGUC
This 460-nucleotide ribosomal RNA is filed under the name uncultured bacterium. Its description in RNAcentral is "partial 16S ribosomal RNA". It matches the Rfam family "Bacterial small subunit ribosomal RNA", at positions 338 to 795 of the family's 1533-position model. The record is from RNAcentral.